Molecule: transfer RNA, 20 nt
Filed under: Micrurus dissoleucus nigrirostris
Lineage: Eukaryota; Metazoa; Chordata; Lepidosauria; Squamata; Elapidae
Description: partial tRNA-Leu
Source: RNAcentral
ACCAAAGGAUAGUAGUAUCC